This 675-nucleotide ribosomal RNA is filed under the name Phaeobacter italicus. RNAcentral describes it as "bacterial SSU rRNA". It matches the Rfam family "Bacterial small subunit ribosomal RNA", at positions 68 to 789 of the family's 1533-position model. Lineage: Bacteria; Pseudomonadati; Pseudomonadota; Alphaproteobacteria; Rhodobacterales; Roseobacteraceae. The record is from RNAcentral.
GCGCCCUUCGGGGUGAGCGGCGGACGGGUUAGUAACGCGUGGGAACGUGCCCAGAUCUAAGGAAUAGCCACUGGAAACGGUGAGUAAUACCUUAUACGCCCUUCGGGGGAAAGAUUUAUCGGAUUUGGAUCGGCCCGCGUUAGAUUAGGUAGUUGGUGGGGUAAUGGCCUACCAAGCCUACGAUCUAUAGCUGGUUUUAGAGGAUGAUCAGCAACACUGGGACUGAGACACGGCCCAGACUCCUACGGGAGGCAGCAGUGGGGAAUCUUGGACAAUGGGGGCAACCCUGAUCCAGCCAUGCCGCGUGAGUGAUGAAGGCCUUAGGGUCGUAAAGCUCUUUCGCCUGUGAUGAUAAUGACAGUAGCAGGUAAAGAAACCCCGGCUAACUCCGUGCCAGCAGCCGCGGUAAUACGGAGGGGGUUAGCGUUGUUCGGAAUUACUGGGCGUAAAGCGCGCGUAGGCGGAUUAGUCAGUUAGAGGUGAAAUCCCAGGGCUCAACCCUGGAACUGCCUUUAAUACUGCUAGUCUUGAGUUCGAGAGAGGUGAGUGGAAUUCCGAGUGUAGAGGUGAAAUUCGUAGAUAUUCGGAGGAACACCAGUGCCGAAGGCGGCUCACUGGCUCGAUACUGACGCUGAGGUGCGAAAGUGUGGGGAGCAAACAGGAUUAGAUACCCUG